Molecule: ribosomal RNA, 434 nt
Filed under: uncultured Ruminococcus sp.
Lineage: Bacteria; Bacillati; Bacillota; Clostridia; Eubacteriales; Oscillospiraceae
Description: partial 16S ribosomal RNA
Rfam family: Bacterial small subunit ribosomal RNA
Source: RNAcentral
ACGGAAGGCAGCAGUGGGGAAUAUUGCACAAUGGGCGCAAGCCUGAUGCAGCGAUGCCGCGUGAGGGAAGAAGGUUUUCGGAUUGUAAACCUCUGUCAACAGGGACGAUAAUGACUGUACCUGUGAAGGAAGCUCCGGCUAACUACGUGCCAGCAGCCGCGGUAAUACGUAGGGAGCAAGCGUUAUCCGGAAUUACUGGGUGUAAAGGGAGUGUAGGCGGGACUGUAAGUCAGAUGUGAAAUAUGCCGGCUCAACUGGCCGACUGCAUUUUACACUGCGGUUCUUGAGUGAAGUAGAGUUAAGCGGAAUUCCUAGUGUAGCGGUGAAAUGCGUAUAUAUUAGGAGGAACAUCAGUGGCGAAGGCGGCUUACUGGGCUUUAACUGUCGCUGAGGCUCUAAAGCGUGGGGAGCAAACAGGAUUAGAUACCCUGGUA